GACGAACGCUGGCGGCGUGCUUAACACAUGCAAGUCGAACGGAAAGGCCCUGCUUUUGUGGGUUGCUCGAGUGGCGAACGGGUGAGUAACACGUGAGUAACCUGCCCCUGUCUGUGGGAUAACUUCAGGAAACUGGGGCUAAUACCGGAUAGGAGCUCCUGCUGCAUGGUGGGGGUUGGAAAGUUUCGGCGGUUGGGGAUGGACUCGCGGCUUAUCAGCUUGUUGGUGAGGUAGUGGCUUACCAAGGCUUUGACGGGUAGCCGGCCUGAGAGGGUGACCGGGCACAUUGGGACUGAGAUACGGCCCAGACUCCUACGGGAGGCAGCAGUGGGGAAUAUUGCACAAUGGGCGGAAGCCUGAUGCAGCAACGCCGCGUGCGGGAUGACGGCCUUCGGGUUGUAAACCGCUUUCGCCUGUGACGAAGCGUGAGUGACGGUAAUGGGUAAAGAAGCACCGGCUAACUACGUG
This 468-nucleotide ribosomal RNA is filed under the name uncultured bacterium. RNAcentral's name for it is "partial 16S ribosomal RNA". It matches the Rfam family "Bacterial small subunit ribosomal RNA", at positions 28 to 507 of the family's 1533-position model. The record is from RNAcentral.